RNAcentral lists this ribosomal RNA (252 nucleotides) under uncultured Odoribacter sp. Its description in RNAcentral is "partial 16S ribosomal RNA". It matches the Rfam family "Bacterial small subunit ribosomal RNA", at positions 524 to 776 of the family's 1533-position model. Lineage: Bacteria; Pseudomonadati; Bacteroidota; Bacteroidia; Bacteroidales; Odoribacteraceae. The record is from RNAcentral.
UACGGAGGAUGCGAGCGUUAUCCGGAUUUAUUGGGUUUAAAGGGUGCGUAGGCGGUUUUUUAAGUUAGUGGUUAAACGUCGGGGCUUCACCUUGAUUUGCCAUUAAUACUGUCAUGCUCGAGUACAGACGAGGUAGGCGGAAUAAGUUAAGUAGCGGUGAAAUGCAUAGAUAUAACUUAGAACUCCGAUCGCGAAGGCAGCUUACCAGACUGUAACUGACGCUGAAGCACGAGAGCGUGGGUAGCAAACAGG